AAUGUGAAUUGCAAAUUCAGUGAAUCAUCUAGUCUUUGAACGCACAUUGCGCCCCCUGGUAUUCCGGGGGGCAUGCCUGUCCGAGCGUCAUUUCUGCCCUCAAGCACGGCUUGUGUGUUGGGCCCCGUCCUCCGAUCCCGGGGGACGGGCCCGAAAGGCAGCGGCGGCACCGCGUCCGGUCCUCGAGCGUAUGGGGCUUUGUCACCCGCUCUGUAGGCCCGGCCGGCGCUUGCCGAUCAACCCAAAUUUUUAUCCAGGUUGACCUCGGAUCAGGUAGGGAUACCCGCUGAACUUAAGCAUAUCAAUAAGCGGAGGAA
RNAcentral lists this ribosomal RNA (317 nucleotides) under uncultured Trichocomaceae. RNAcentral's name for it is "eukaryotic LSU rRNA". The stretch from base 1 to 90 matches the Rfam family "5.8S ribosomal RNA", at positions 64 to 154 of the family's 154-position model. Lineage: Eukaryota; Fungi; Ascomycota; Eurotiomycetes; Eurotiales; Trichocomaceae. The record is from RNAcentral.